RNAcentral lists this transfer RNA (69 nucleotides) under Ictidomys tridecemlineatus (thirteen-lined ground squirrel). RNAcentral describes it as "Spermophilus tridecemlineatus (thirteen-lined ground squirrel) tRNA". It matches the Rfam family "tRNA". From Rfam's summary of the family: Transfer RNA (tRNA) molecules are approximately 80 nucleotides in length. Their secondary structure includes four short double-helical elements and three loops (D, anti-codon, and T loops). The record is from Rfam by way of RNAcentral. Lineage: Eukaryota; Metazoa; Chordata; Mammalia; Rodentia; Sciuridae.
GGGGUUAUGGCUCAGUGGUAGAGCACUUGCCUAGCACGCAUGAGGCACUGGGUUUGAUCCUCAGCACCA